GCACAGCCAGAGUGGGUUGAGAUGCUUUCUCCAAGUUCAGAGUGGUAGAUAGAUGGAUAGACAGACAGAUAGAUAGAUAGGUAGGUAGGUAGGUAGGUAGUCCUUGCAGAGGUAGAGAAAGGGAUACAGGCGUGGGUGAACAGAACAUAAUGCUGGAUCUCACAGUGAACACUUUAUUAUGAGAAGUUUGGAAACUGGCAAGAGCAUCUAUAGGAAGACACAACAGGCCCUCCGGGGCUGCCGUCCUCCCCUUAGGCUUCCAGGCUAAUAGGCUACGAUUCUGAGAGCUGUCCAGCCCUCCCAUCUCUCCCUCAUACCCAUGGUGAGGCUCCUGAAGGCUUACCUCAGCAGGCCCAGUUUCAUCCCUUCCCAUUUCAUGAAAACCCUUUUCAGUCAGGUAGGGGAAGGGGAGAAGUUAAGGCCUAACCCAAGUCCUGGGCUUUGACUACUACUCCACUUUAUUGCUAAUAUACCUCUGUUCCCAGGAGUACUGAAGUGCCCAGUGUUGUGAGGGAAAGACGGUGAGUUAAGGCAAUGCUUUUCCUAUGAGAAAUGGAAGUUUAUUUUUUAUACCAGUGUUACUGAGUGGUGAAUUACGUACUGACACAUUGAAACAGAAAGGAAUUGCAAAGUUCUAAUCUAAAAAGCAAUGGGCAGCUUUGUAGUUUAAUAGCAGUGGAGACCCUUAGACAUGUCAUGUCUGUGACAGUGUUUUGGAGCAUGAGCACAUGCUCUCUGCUGUAUUAUUUCAACAGCAUUACAGAAGAUAGUCAACUGGCCCAGCAAGGGUGAGAGGGACAGUGGCCUUGGGGGAAGCUGCAGAACAGAAGAGCACGAAUAGCCUUUCAGUGACCAUUCCCCUCUUGAUCAAGGGGGAGAGUGAGAGAGGGGAAUGGCAGGCAGUCUGCUAACUAGCACUUUAAUUCACUUUAGUCCUGGAAGUGGGGUGAAAAGUUUAAAUGUAGUAAAGGAACGGGACUUUUCUGGUGCUAUCUAGAGAAACGAAGAUGGGAUGAAUAAAGCUCCUUUUAGAGCUUAUUCUAGAAUGUCAGCAUGGCGCUGGCUCUCAACCAUGCUGACUUAAACUCUGACAGGUUUACAGCAGAGGAUUUGUUUGCAUUUGCAGCAGGUGCCUGUUUUGUCUGCUGAGUUUACUUUCCUUCCUAAUGAUACUAGGACUCACUGGAGUGGGGUUUUAUAAAUUGUGAAUAGAUGGGACUGCAAAGUGAAAAGCCCAUACAGAGCAAACAUAUGUAAUUGACGUUGUAUCUGGGUCAAUUAAGCAAGGAUAUAUAAAAGUUAGGCAAACCCAAAGUUUACUUUCCUUGCCCAUCAGAAAUGCCUUCAGCCAUCAGAAAUGGGGGAUUCUGUCCUCCUGAACAUGAACUAGCAUGAGUGGCUACCAGGCUUCGGGAUAGGUAAACAAAACCAACUAAACCAACUUCCUUUAUUUGCCCAAAACUUGUUGGAUAAAUUUUUGUAUAAGUCUGGAAUAUAAUCCUUCCUGAAAAAAAAAAUCAUGGUAACCAAGGAAAUAUGCUUUCCUAGUUUUUUUUAAACAUAGUGUCCCUGCUGCCUUAAAUGUAAAAACCUAUUUUGAGUAAUAACCCCAGCCUAAGAGUUAUAGCAAUAAAUGAACCCGAAUCUAUUUUUCUUUCAAGUCUUUACCUCAUGUGACAAAGUCAGAAGGAUAAUUGGUAAGUUUUGCUCUGGGUACUACUGCAAACCGAUGUAUCCUUUCUCUGUGUCUUCAAUGGAGUAUUAUUUACAGACCUGAAGGAAGCUGGGCUUAACCCCAAGGCUAAGUGUAAAUGUUUCUUGAAUUGAUUCUUUCUGUGGUACAAGUUAACACCUGUGUAUAUCAUAUCUGUAUAUAUCUGAACCAAGUUAUGUGCAGAGGUUGAUAAUAACUAUAUUUACAAAAAAUUUUUACAAUUAAACUUCACAUUUUAACAUG
This 1957-nucleotide long non-coding RNA is filed under the name Rattus norvegicus (Norway rat). Its description in RNAcentral is "long non-coding RNA NONRATT021366". Lineage: Eukaryota; Metazoa; Chordata; Mammalia; Rodentia; Muridae. The record is from RNAcentral.